This is a non-coding RNA of Notechis scutatus (mainland tiger snake), 614 nucleotides long. The record is from RefSeq and is a predicted model, not a curated record. Lineage: Eukaryota; Metazoa; Chordata; Lepidosauria; Squamata; Elapidae.
UUUCCUCUUGAGCUGGUGUUUUUUCUGCUCUGAAGGUAUAAAAUGCUUUCCUGGUUACCACUGAUGAAGCCAAACAUGUUUCCUAAUUAAUUAAAAGGCCAUGUAUUCAUUUUUAAAUGCAGGCAAAUAGUCGGGACGAAUACCGUCUUACAGUGGACUUUGUGAAAACAAGAUGUAAAAAGAGUAGGAAGAUGAAAUAUAAGGGAAUCCAGAAAUGUAAGCCACUUCAAGGGAAUCAGGAGAAACCAAACUGCUACUUUAGAAUUAUACCCUGCUCUCCGCCAUCCAAAUGGCAGUUGGGAUUCACAGACUGCCUCUGAUCUGGGCCUCCGAAGAGCCUCUUCUGCUCAGACUAAGGAUGCUGAGUGUGUCCAUCAGCCGAGCAACCUCUGGUGUGCAAACUGGGUUCACAGCAAGCUUUGCUUCUUCUGACACAACUCAGGAAUGAGACCGUUUGCUUAAGCCCAAAUUCACAUCUCCUGAGUUCCUGAAAUUAUUCCUUGACCUGCAAGGAGACCUUCCCUUGCACUUCUCCUCUUUUCCAUCAUUUCCAUCUUUGGGAAGAAUCCAUAUUUUGCUAAUUCCAUUAAUUAAUCUCAAUAAAGCUAUCAGCA